Agelaius phoeniceus (red-winged blackbird) is the source of this 615-nucleotide non-coding RNA. The record is from the annotation of a RefSeq genome assembly. Lineage: Eukaryota; Metazoa; Chordata; Aves; Passeriformes; Icteridae.
AUGGCUGGUAUCAGCAGCAACUGGUAUGGCUGGUUCCAGCAGAAGGUCCCUGGCAGUGGCCCUGUCACUGUGAUCUACAACAGUAACAGCAGACCCUCGGGCAUCCCUUCGCGAUUCUCCGGAUCCAAGUCCGGCUCCACGGGCACGUUAACCAUCACUGGGGUCCAAGCCGAGGACGAGGCUGUCUAUUACUGUGGUGGUGCUGACAGCAGCAGUGAUCCUGGAGAGAUCUGUGCUCCCAGGUCACUGACUCACCCACUCUCCUCCCCUCUCUUUUCUCUCUCUCCAGGUUCCCUGGUCCAGGCAGCAUCACUGAGUCAGCCAUCCUCAGUGUCAGCCACUGUGGGAGAGUACAUCAAAAUCACCUGCUCUGGGAGUAGCUACAGCGACUAUGGCUGGUACCAGCAGAAGGUCCCUGGCAGUGGCCCUGUCACUGUGAUCUACUACAAUGACAAGAGACCCUCGGACAUCCCUUCGCGAUUCUCCGGAUCCACAUCCUGGACCACGGCCACGUUAACCAUCACUGGGGUCCAAGCCGAGGAUGAGGCUGUCUAUUUCUGUGGUGGCAGGGACAGCAGUGGUGCUGGUUAUAGUGACAAAGAGAUUUUCAAAUAA